UAUCUUCAAGCUAUACCAUGCUUCUAGGAUUAUUACUCAAGCUCAAUUACAACUAUUGCGACAACCAAAUGAUUUAGCUACACAUGAUUAUAAGUUCACAAUUAGUGAAGCUGAAGCAAGAAUUUAACAAAACAAAAACCAACUUAUAUAUUAGAGUAUACAGUAAAGCAUAUUAUACAUAUAAAUUAUAACUGCAUUUGUGUUAGGAUCAAAGGCAUGUAUCACCCCAAAAUUUUCAACACCACGAUGAUAACUCUAAAUUCAACUGUGGCUAUGAAUUGUAAAUCACAAGUUCCGGUUCUACACAUAGAGUUCGGCGUUCUGCUGCAAUGGUGCAUAAAACACAACUUAGCCAACUAGUUGUNNNNNNNNNNNNNNACUCACGCCCCUUUUUGUGCCAACAUUUCUUAAUUUGAUUGCACAAAUGAAAGACAUAGCAUUGUGAUUAUCUGCAAAAACAAAGGCACUUAAUAAGCCAAUAUAUAGCAUCAACAGGAAACAAAAAGACAUAGCCAUAAACUUAAACAGACCACUGCUUACUUUUAGGGACAAAAAACUAAAUUUUAACUAAUUAACUAUUCUAUAACUCACCAGAUAAAUCUUAACCCUCCAAUAACUCCAAAAAAUAUGUUGAAAAUAAACAUUUGUACAUGCCAAAACUGAUGCUUCUUCAAUGGGUAAACUGCAGAAUGCACAUAUUUCAAGCAUCCGUCUUAUACACCCUCUCUUAAUAUAUCCCUUAAGCCCCAUAAAGAGUGCACCAAAAGAUCCUCCCAAUUGAGUGAUUUAAGAAUCUCACACAGAGUUUAUCUCUUUUAGGCCUAUAGAUACACAGACGUGUUCCAAAGUGAUAGCCUA
Molecule: long non-coding RNA, 858 nt
Filed under: Trifolium pratense (red clover)
Lineage: Eukaryota; Viridiplantae; Streptophyta; Magnoliopsida; Fabales; Fabaceae
Description: long non-coding RNA (TPRA_LNC005274)
Source: RNAcentral